Molecule: ribosomal RNA, 419 nt
Filed under: uncultured Gammaproteobacteria bacterium
Lineage: Bacteria; Pseudomonadati; Pseudomonadota; Gammaproteobacteria
Description: bacterial SSU rRNA
Rfam family: Bacterial small subunit ribosomal RNA
Source: RNAcentral
UCGAGCGAGAAAGCACUUCGGUGUGAGUACAGCGGCGGACGGGUGAGUAACGCGUAGGAAUCUACCCAGUAGUGGGGGACAACUUGGGGAAACUCAAGCUAAUACCGCAUACGCCCUACGGGGGAAAGCGGGGGACCUUCGGGCCUCGCGCUAUUGGAUGAGCCUGCGUUGGAUUAGCUAGUUGGUGGGGUAAAAGCCUACCAAGGCGACGAUCCAUAGCUGGUCUGAGAGGAUGAUCAGCCACACUGGAACUGAGACACGGUCCAGACUCCUACGGGAGGCAGCAGUGGGGAAUAUUGCGCAAUGGGCGAAAGCCUGACGCAGCCAUGCCGCGUGUGUGAAGAAGGCCCUAGGGUUGUAAAGCACUUUCAAUUGGGAAGAAAAGCUGCAGGUUAAUAACCUGUAGCCCUGACAUUACC